AAAACACGGGGAAACCCACUAGUUAUAUUUUAUUAUAUAAUAUAACAAAGAAAAGAGUAAACUUAUUAAUUUAGAUUAUUUUUUUAUUUUAUUAUUAUAAUUAAUUUUAGCAUAUUUUGUUUUUCUGUUGUAAUUUUAAUUUACAAUAUUUUAAAGAAAUUUAAUACCGUGAAUUAAAAACGUGCAUAUAAUGUAUGGUUUUGUUGAUACGACGUGUCUAUUUUUAUCUACAUCUCAAUAUAUAUUAUUUUUCAAAACCAAAUUGUGAGUAAUAUUGUAAAAGUAAUUGAAGUAAAAUCACAUGUGUUAUCAAGAUCACCUCACAUUUAAUUUUUUAAUAGACCUCAUUUUCCCGUUUCGUUAUUCGAAUAAUAUAAUUUAAUGUUUAGCAAAUUUUUGAUCAUGAUGAGCUUGUUCAAAAUUAAAUGGAUUAAAUCUAAUAGAUGUUUUAUUGAAAAUCGUAACAACCCAGGGCCGGCCCAACAGUAUAAUCUA
Molecule: long non-coding RNA, 495 nt
Filed under: Helianthus annuus (common sunflower)
Lineage: Eukaryota; Viridiplantae; Streptophyta; Magnoliopsida; Asterales; Asteraceae
Source: RNAcentral